GCCUGGGUGGCUCAGUUGCUUAAGUAUCUGACUUCCUCUCAGGUCAAGAGCUCAUGGUAUGUGAGUUCAAGCCCCACCUCGGGCU
This 85-nucleotide transfer RNA is filed under the name Felis catus (domestic cat). It matches the Rfam family "tRNA". Rfam says of the family: Transfer RNA (tRNA) molecules are approximately 80 nucleotides in length. Their secondary structure includes four short double-helical elements and three loops (D, anti-codon, and T loops). Further hydrogen bonds mediate the characteristic L-shaped molecular structure. tRNAs have two regions of fundamental functional importance: the anti-codon, which is responsible for specific mRNA codon recognition, and the 3' end, to which the tRNAs corresponding amino acid is attached (by aminoacyl-tRNA synthetases). tRNAs cope with the degeneracy of the genetic code in two manners: having more than one tRNA (with a specific anti-codon) for a particular amino acid; and 'wobble' base-pairing, i.e. permitting non-standard base-pairing at the 3rd anti-codon position. Lineage: Eukaryota; Metazoa; Chordata; Mammalia; Carnivora; Felidae. The record is from Rfam by way of RNAcentral.